RNAcentral lists this ribosomal RNA (253 nucleotides) under uncultured bacterium. Its description in RNAcentral is "partial 16S ribosomal RNA". It matches the Rfam family "Bacterial small subunit ribosomal RNA", at positions 524 to 776 of the family's 1533-position model. The record is from RNAcentral.
UACGUAGGGUGCAAGCGCUGUCCGGAAUUAUUGGGCGUAAAGAGCUCGUAGGCGGUCUGUCACGUCGGCUGUGAAAACCCGAGGCUCAACCUCGGGCCUGCAGUCGAUACGGGCAAACUAGAGUACUGCAGGGGAGACUGGAAUUCCUGGUGUAGCGGUGAAAUGCGCAGAUAUCAGGAGGAACACCGGUGGCGAAGGCGGGUCUCUGGGCAGUAACUGACGCUGAGGAGCGAAAGCGUGGGGAGCGAACAGG